ACAUACCAAUUGUUGCCUCGGCGGAUCAGCCCGCUCCCGGUAAAACGGGACGGCCCGCCAGAGGACCCCUAAACUCUGUUUCUAUAUGUAACUUCUGAGUAAAACCAUAAAUAAAUCAAAACUUUCAACAACGGAUCUCUUGGUUCUGGCAUCGAUGAAGAACGCAGCAAAAUGCGAUAAGUAAUGUGAAUUGCAGAAUUCAGUGAAUCAUCGAAUCUUUGAACGCACAUUGCGCCCGCCAGUAUUCUGGCGGGCAUGCCUGUUCGAGCGUCAUUUCAACCCUCAAGCCCAGCUUGGUGUUGGGACUCGCGAGUCAAAUCGCGUUCCCCAAAUUGAUUGGCGGUCACGUCGAGCUUCCAUAGCGUAGUAGUAAAACCCUCGUUACUGGUAAUCGUCGCGGCCACGCCGUUAAACCCCAACUUCUGAAUGUUGACCUCGGAUCAGGUAGGAAUACCCGCUGAACUUAAGCAUAUCAUAACCGGGAAGGAAAGAAUCAUUACCGAGUUUACAA
Molecule: ribosomal RNA, 511 nt
Filed under: Fusarium subglutinans
Lineage: Eukaryota; Fungi; Ascomycota; Sordariomycetes; Hypocreales; Nectriaceae
Description: eukaryotic LSU rRNA
Rfam family: 5.8S ribosomal RNA (bases 120-273)
Source: RNAcentral